CUACGGGUUGCUCCAGUGGGGAAUAUUGGACAAUGGGCGCAAGCCUGAUCCAGCCAUGCCGCGUGUGUGAAGAAGGCCUUCGGGUUGUAAAGCACUUUCAGUAGGGAGGAAGCGUUGAGUGUUAAUAGUACUCAACGUUGACGUUACCUACAGAAGAAGCACCGGCUAACUCUGUGCCAGCAGCCGCGGUAAUACAGAGGGUGCAAGCGUUAAUCGGAAUUACUGGGCGUAAAGCGCACGUAGGCGGUUUUUUAAGUCAGAUGUGAAAGCCCCGGGCUCAACCUGGGAAUUGCAUUUGAAACUGGAAAACUAGAGUGUGUGAGAGGGGGGUAGAAUUCCAAGUGUAGCGGUGAAAUGCGUAGAGAUUUGGAGGAAUACCAGUGGCGAAGGCGGCCCCCUGGCACAACACUGACGCUCAGGUGCGAAAGCGUGGGGAGCAAACAGGAUUAGAUACCCGUGUAGUC
This 464-nucleotide ribosomal RNA is filed under the name uncultured bacterium. Its description in RNAcentral is "partial 16S ribosomal RNA". It matches the Rfam family "Bacterial small subunit ribosomal RNA", at positions 339 to 795 of the family's 1533-position model. The record is from RNAcentral.